CCAGAAUGUCCCUUCCACAGCGUUCUGUGGUCGGCAAGUCACCAAGCCAGCCUGGAUUCCAGGAAGCAGAAAGGGAGUUCCCUUCCGCCUCCCUAAUGCCAUGGAAUGGGGAAGGGUACAACUCUAGGAUCAGACCCAAAGGGAACUGUUGUGAAUCUUGAUUUUGUGACUUCUUGGCUAUUGGAUUUGGGCCAAUUAUUUGUCAUCUCUGUACCUUAAUUUACUCAUCUAUGAAAGAAGGACUAAAAAUACUUAUCAUAGGAGAAGACAAUAUGUAAGCCACUUGGCAAUGUGCCUGGGACCUAGUGAGCGAUUCUUCUCACUUAUUAUUGUUUUCGUCAUCAUCGACAUCAUCGUCACCAUUACUUUUCAUUGUCUUUGGAAAUUUGGACAGAGACCACAGGCAGAUGCGGUGCCGUAUUCCCACAGGGCUGGAGCAGCGGGUGUGUUUUUCUGUGAUAGCAGCGCUUCCCGGAACCAGCAGGGUACACGUUAUUUGACCUGAAGGGCGAGGGAGUUCAGAGCCUACAGUGAUGAGAGAAAGCCCUGAGUGAACGUUUCCUUUCAGCUUCGUGAGAGGAAGAGUCUAAAUAGGGGAGCCAUCCCCAAAACCUGACCACGAGCAAGGGUGCAAAAUAGGGUGCAGUCUCUUCACAUAUCUAGACAGGAGUAUGAACCUCCUUGGGAGCGUGCAGGCUGGCAAUACCCGUGUGUGCAUGUACGCGUGUGAUUCCUGUGUGUGCGAGCUUCUGUUUAUGUGUGUGAGUGUGUGCAUGUGUUAGUAUGUGUAAAUGUGUGGUUUAUGUGUGGUGGAGUGAGCACAUGAGCAUGUAAAAGUGUGUGUGCAUGAACAGAAGUAUGUAUGUGUACUGCAUAUGUAUGUGUGAGUCUGUGUGGCAUAUGUGUAUGUGGAGAUGUGUUUGUAGUGUGUAUCCGUGUGUGUACCUGCAAGUAUGUUUGUGUUUAUGUGUGAGUGGUACGUAGUAUCUAUACACAGGUGUGUACAUUGUGUGAGUCGUGUGCAUGUGUGUGAUGACUCUGUGUUUGCGAGUGUGUGUGCUGCAUGUACCAGAAUGUGUGUAUCUGUGUAUGUGAGGGUUUAUGGGUGAGUGCAAUGUGUCUGUAUGUGGGCAUGUAUAUCAUGUGAGUUAUGAAUAUGGGUGCAAUGUAUGUGUGUAUCUUUAUGAGUGUGUUGUGCUUGUAUCUAUACAUGUGUGUGCACGUGUGCAUGCAUACAUUUGUGUGUGUGCAUACAUUUAUGGGUGUGAUGUGUGUGUCUGUCUGUGGGUGUGUAUGUUGUGUGAGUUGUGUGUAUAUGUGUGAUGAAUGCAUGUGUAUGUGCAUGCAUGCAUCUGUGUCUACUCGUACUUUAUGGGUAAGAGGUGUGUGUGUGUGUGUACAUUGUGUGAGUCGUGUGUACAUUGUGUGAGUCGUGUGUACAUGUGUGAUGAAUGCAUGUGUAUGUUUGUGCAUGUGUGGUGCAUGCAUCUGUACAUGUGUGAAUCUGUGUGUAUGCAUAUAUUUAUGGGUAAGAUGUGUGUCUCUGUAUGUGGGUGUGUACAUUGUGUGAGUCGUGUGUACAUGUGUGAUGAAUGCAUGCGUAUGUGAGUGUGUGGUGCACAUAUCUGUGCAUAUGUACAUCUGUGUGUACACAUAUAUUUAUGGGUGAGAGGUGUGUGUCUUCAUGUGGGUGUGUAUGUCAUGUGAGUCGUGUGUACAUGUGUGAUGAAUACAUAUGUAUGUGAGUGUAUGUAUAGUGCAUGUAUCUGUGCAUGUGUGAAUCUGUGUGUAUGCAUAUAUUUAUGGGUGAGACGUGUGUCUCUGUAUGUGGGUGUGUACAUUGUGUGAGUCGUGUGUACAUUGUGUGAGUCGUGUGUACAUGUGUGAUGAAUGCAUGUGUAUGUGAGUGUGUGGUGCACAUAUCUGUGCAUAUGUACAUCUGUGUGUACACAUAUGUUUAUGGGUGAGAGGUGUGUGUCUUCAUGUGGGUGUGUAUGUCAUGUGAGUCAUGUGUACAUGUGUGAUGAAUGCAUGUGUAUGUGAGUGUAUGUAUAGUGCAUGUGUCUGUACAUGUGUGAAUCUGUGUGUACACAUAUAUUCAUGGGUGAGACAUGUGUCUGUACGUGGGUGUGUAAUUGUGUGAGUUGUGUGUACAUUGUGUGAAUCGUGUGUACAUGUGUGAUGAACGCAUGUGCAUGCAUGUGUGUGGUGCAUGUGUGCAUCUGUGUGUACACAUACAUUUAUAAGUGGGGGUGUGUGUCUGUGUGUGGCUGCGUGUGUUGUGUGGGUCAUGUGUACAUGUGUGAUGGAUGUAUGUGUAUGCUUUGCUUUGUGAUGCGUGUAUCUGUGCACAGGUGAACCUGUGUUUUUCUCCCUUGUUGAAAGGCAGGAUGACACGGCAGUUAGGAGCUUCUCUGGGGCCUUCAGGCAGACGGUCUGGGCUGUGUCCUGGCUGUGCCUUUUCCCAGCCCUACCUGCAGUCCUACACAUCUUCUCCACCUCCAGCGGCUUCUCCUUCUCACAUCCACCCUCUGCGAAGGCAUAAAUAGUAGCAACUCCCUUCUGGAUUCUAUGAGGUGAUAAUUACAUGAGAUGGCAGAGCCUGGAGCACGGGAGCUCCUCAGUGACUCAGUCAUGUUCAUUCCAAGGAGUUCAGGGUCCUUGCCGUCUGCAAACCUUUCCCCUUAUUUUCAAGAUCCUUGAGUCUGACUGUCAAGCAGUAACAUUCCAGCCUCAACUACAACAAUACUUGUAGAUGAAUGGAGCUUCCACUGGACCCCAUGUCACUGGUGAGGGACUUCAGGCAGAGAGAAAGCUCAUCCUUUGCCCAAGGUCACACCGCUGGUAAAAAGCAAAUGAAGUUCAAACUGACCUCCUCAUCCCUGCCCUUGUCCUCCCAACAGGCUCCUCACAGGUGGAAAAAUCAACCCCUACAGCAAACUCAUUGUUUUUUUGACCUCUCCUAAAAUUAAAAUCCAAGAUCCCUCAUGAGCUCUGUGAUCUUGGGUAAGGUGUUUUUUUUUUUUUCACCUCUAUGGGUUCCAGUUUCCUCCAAAGAAAAACCAAGGGUUUUGCAAACAUUUAAUUGUCAGUGCACAUCAUGCCAGUUUCAUGUCCUUGACCUUGGGAGAAGGCUGGCCAGUGGCCAGAACCGUCCUCUAUGCUCUGAGGCUGAGAGGCGUCAAAGCAAAGCUCUGUGACACACAUUACCUUUGAGCCCCCAAAGAACAUGAAGGAGCCCAGCCUGGGGGGUGCUUCUACUCUCUCUCUCCCAGUCCAGACUCCAGCUACUUCCCCUAAAGAGGAAGGCCAUGCUGAGUGUCUCCAGCUGAGGACGUGUUACUCCAAGACUCAUCUCCUUUGAUGUCUGGUCUCGUUAGCGGCUACGGUGGUAUAGGUGCUGACUGGGUUAACUCCAUCAAUAUUCUCCUUCUUACUCACCUACUUUGCUGUUUAAUAACAUAAUACAUAUUCUUGUAUCUUUUGCUUGUAGUUUCUAUUUUGUAUUAUGAAAUGCCCCUGGAUUCCUUUGAGUCUAUUUAGUCAGAACAUAAAAAAGCAACUAUCCUGCCAUUUACCUCUUUCCAUUUUACUACUCAGCAUGAUCUUGAAUGACUCUAAUAUUUUGCAUUCAUGACAAAAAUAUACAAAAGGUGACAGAUGAAAUGUAGGUCAUGCUAAGUUUUUUUUCCGGCCCAAUAAAAGUGCAAGUCCUCUAAAGAGAUCUUUCCCGGAAAAUAUGAAUAUGGCAAAGGAAUGUAAAAGGAAGGAUUUGAGACUGAGGCCAUAGUAAUCAUUUUAAAGCAGUUACAAGCACAUUUGCAAGUAAAUACAUCCAUUUCUAGGCGCUACCUAGAGCUGAUGUUGGCAAAUACAAUUCCGAGAAGCCCUCAGAGAAGGAAAGCAUUGUUUGCUAAGCAAGUUGCCGAGAUGAGAUCAGUGGAAUAGAAAAAUCUUAUUUUUGAUGACGUGAAUCUAAAUGAGUUAUGGGGAGAGGUAGGAACUGGGAGUGGGGACGUCUCUUCCAAAAAUAAAAUCCUGAGAUUCUGGGAUGUGAUCUGCCCAGUUGAUGCAGUACUUUGAUUUUUACCCUUAGCAUCAAGUUAGGUAAGAAAAA
RNAcentral lists this long non-coding RNA (4117 nucleotides) under Homo sapiens (human). RNAcentral describes it as "HSALNT0197251". Lineage: Eukaryota; Metazoa; Chordata; Mammalia; Primates; Hominidae. The record is from RNAcentral.